GGACAACCUACCCUAUGGAGGGGGAUAACCCCGGGAAACUGGGGAUAAUACCCCAUAGACUAUGGAUGCUGGAAUGCUUUGUAGUUGAAAGGUCCGCCGCCAUAGGAUGGGUCUGCGGCCGAUUAGGUUGUUGUUGGGGUAACGGCCCAACAAGCCUGUAAUCGGUACGGGUUGUGGGAGCAAGAGCCCGGAGAUGGAUUCUGAGACACGAAUCCAGGCCCUACGGGGCGCAGCAGGCGCGAAAACUUUACAAUGCGGGAAACCGUGAUAAGGGAACUCCGAGUGCCCGUAAAAUCGGGCUGUCCAUCUGUGUAAAUAACAGGUGAAGAAAGGGCCGGGCAAGACCGGUGCCAGCCGCCGCGGUAAUACCGGCGGCUCGAGUGGUGGCCACUAUUACUGGGCUUAAAGCGUUCGUAGCUGGUCUGUUAAGUCUCUGGGGAAAUCUACUGGCUUAACCAAUAGGCGUCUCAGGGAUACUGGCAGACUAAGGACCGGGAGAGGUGAGAGGUACUCCAGGGGUAGGAGUGAAAUCCUGUAAUCCUUGGGGGACCACCUGUGGCGAAGGCGUCUCACCAGAACGGCUUCCACAGUGAGGGACGAAAGCUGGGGGAGCAAACCGGAUUAGAUACCCCGGUAGUCCCAGCCGUAAACGAUUCGCGUUAGGUGUAUCGGUGACCACGAGU
This 683-nucleotide ribosomal RNA is filed under the name uncultured Methanomicrobiaceae archaeon. RNAcentral's name for it is "SSU rRNA". It matches the Rfam family "Archaeal small subunit ribosomal RNA", at positions 102 to 790 of the family's 1478-position model. Lineage: Archaea; Methanobacteriati; Methanobacteriota; Methanomicrobia; Methanomicrobiales; Methanomicrobiaceae. The record is from RNAcentral.